CCUACGGGGGGCAGCAGUGAGGAAUAUUGAUCAAUGGACGAGAGUCUGAACCAGCCAAGUAGCGUGAAGGAUGACUGCCCUAUGGGUUGUAAACUUCUUUUAUAUGGGAAUAAAAUGUUCCACGUGUGGGAUUUUGUAUGUACCAUAUGAAUAAGGAUCGGCUAACUCCGUGCCAGCAGCCGCGGUAAUACGGAGGAUCCGAGCGUUAUCCGGAUUUAUUGGGUUUAAAGGGAGCGUAGGUGGAUUGUUAAGUCAGUUGUGAAAGUUUGCGGCUCAACCGUAAAAUUGCAGUUGAAACUGGCAGUCUUGAGUACAGUAGAGGUGGGCGGAAUUCGUGGUGUAGCGGUGAAAUGCUUAGAUAUCACGAAGAACUCCGAUUGCGAAGGCAGUUCACUGGACUGCAACUGACACUGAGGCUCGAAAGUGUGGGUAUCAAACAGGAUUAGAUACCCCAGUAGUC
RNAcentral lists this ribosomal RNA (460 nucleotides) under uncultured bacterium. RNAcentral describes it as "partial 16S ribosomal RNA". It matches the Rfam family "Bacterial small subunit ribosomal RNA", at positions 338 to 795 of the family's 1533-position model. The record is from RNAcentral.